UGGUUUCACGCUUCAUUGUGUCCUCUAGAUCUUGAAGCUCUAGAACGUCUUCAAUUACGAUCUCCAGCAAAGGUAGUUGCUUUGGUCCAUAGGUGUGUUUAUCAUGUGAAAGAUGUUGAAAGAAGUGGGGAUUGAGAAAAGUGUAUUUAUCAUGGUGGUGUCAGAAUUUUUUGAAGAAACUAGAGAGUCUGCAGAGGAAGAGAUUGGGGAGGACUCGGUAGGAGCCAUAGGACUGGGAUCGAGUUUUUUAUUAUUUUUUUUAGCGAUAGCCCCUGUGGGCUUUGAUACGUGUAAGAAAAGAGGUGUGAAGAGGAAUUUGGAAUAAAUGAG
Molecule: long non-coding RNA, 330 nt
Filed under: Prunus persica (peach)
Lineage: Eukaryota; Viridiplantae; Streptophyta; Magnoliopsida; Rosales; Rosaceae
Description: long non-coding RNA (PPER_LNC003341)
Source: RNAcentral